AUUGAACGCUGGCGGAAUGCUUUACACAUGCAAGUCGAACGGCAGCACGGGGCAACCUGGUGGCGAGUGGCGAACGGGUGAGUAAUACAUCGGAACGUGCCCAAUCGUGGGGGAUAACGUAGCGAAAGUUACGCUAAUACCGCAUACGAUCUACGGAUGAAAGCGGGGGAUCGCAAGACCUCGCGCGAAUGGAGCGGCCGAUGUCAGAUUAGGUAGUUGGUGGGGUAAAAGGCUCACCAAGCCGACGAUCUGUAGCUGGUCUGAGAGGACGACCAGCCACACUGGGACUGAGACACGGCCCAGACUCCUACGGGAGGCAGCAGUGGGGAAUUUUGGACAAUGGGCGCAAGCCUGAUCCAGCCAUUCCGCGUGCAGGAUGAAGGCCUGGUGUAA
RNAcentral lists this ribosomal RNA (393 nucleotides) under uncultured bacterium. RNAcentral's name for it is "bacterial SSU rRNA". It matches the Rfam family "Bacterial small subunit ribosomal RNA", at positions 30 to 428 of the family's 1533-position model. The record is from RNAcentral.